This 468-nucleotide ribosomal RNA is filed under the name uncultured bacterium. Its description in RNAcentral is "partial 16S ribosomal RNA". It matches the Rfam family "Bacterial small subunit ribosomal RNA", at positions 28 to 507 of the family's 1533-position model. The record is from RNAcentral.
GACGAACGCUGGCGGCGUGCUUAACACAUGCAAGUCGAACGGAAAGGCCCUGCUUUUGUGGGGUGCUCGAGUGGCGAACGGGUGAGUAACACGUGAGUAACAUGCCCUUGACUUUGGGAUAACUUCAGGAAACUGGGGCUAAUACCGGAUAGGAGCUCCUGCUUCAUGGUGGGGGUUGGAAAGUUUCGGCGGUUGGGGAUGGACUCGCGGCUUAUCAGCUUGUUGGUGGGGUAGUGGCUUACCAAGGCUUUGACGGGUAGCCGGCCUGAGAGGGUGACCGGCCACAUUGGGACUGAGAUACGGCCCAGACUCCUACGGGAGGCAGCAGUGGGGAAUAUUGCACAAUGGGCGGAAGCCUGAUGCAGCAACGCCGCGUGCGGGAUGACGGCCUUCGGGUUGUAAACCGCUUUCGCCUGUGACGAAGCGUGAGUGACGGUAAUGGGUAAAGAAGCACCGGCUAACUACGUG